GAGGGUAUGACUCAGUGGUAGAGUGCCUGCUUAGCAUGCAUGACGUCCUGGGUUCAAUCCCCUGUACCUCCA
Molecule: transfer RNA, 72 nt
Filed under: Camelus bactrianus (Bactrian camel)
Lineage: Eukaryota; Metazoa; Chordata; Mammalia; Artiodactyla; Camelidae
Also listed under: 1 other name
Rfam family: tRNA
About the family: Transfer RNA (tRNA) molecules are approximately 80 nucleotides in length. Their secondary structure includes four short double-helical elements and three loops (D, anti-codon, and T loops). Further hydrogen bonds mediate the characteristic L-shaped molecular structure. tRNAs have two regions of fundamental functional importance: the anti-codon, which is responsible for specific mRNA codon recognition, and the 3' end, to which the tRNAs corresponding amino acid is attached (by aminoacyl-tRNA synthetases). tRNAs cope with the degeneracy of the genetic code in two manners: having more than one tRNA (with a specific anti-codon) for a particular amino acid; and 'wobble' base-pairing, i.e. permitting non-standard base-pairing at the 3rd anti-codon position.
Source: Rfam by way of RNAcentral